RNAcentral lists this transfer RNA (73 nucleotides) under Minisyncoccota bacterium. RNAcentral's name for it is "tRNA-Val". It matches the Rfam family "tRNA". From Rfam's summary of the family: Transfer RNA (tRNA) molecules are approximately 80 nucleotides in length. Their secondary structure includes four short double-helical elements and three loops (D, anti-codon, and T loops). Lineage: Bacteria; Bacillati; Minisyncoccota. The record is from RNAcentral. RNAcentral also lists the same sequence under 3 other names.
GCGGCUGUAGCUCAGCGGAUAGAGCAUCUAUAUGACGAAUGGAAGGCGGUGAGUUCGACUCUCACCAGUCGCA